This 680-nucleotide ribosomal RNA is filed under the name uncultured bacterium. Its description in RNAcentral is "bacterial SSU rRNA". It matches the Rfam family "Bacterial small subunit ribosomal RNA", at positions 39 to 709 of the family's 1533-position model. The record is from RNAcentral.
GCGGCGGCUUAACACAUGCAAGUCGAGCGGUAACAGAGAUAGCUUGCUAUGUGCUGACGAGCGGCGGACGGGUGAGUAAUGCUUGGGAAUAUGCCUUUGAGUGGGGGACAACAGUUGGAAACGACUGCUAAUACCGCAUAACGUCUACGGACCAAAGGGGGGGAUGCUUCGGCACCUCUCGCUCAUUGAUUAGCCCAAGUGAGAUUAGCUAGUUGGUAAGGUAAUGGCUUACCAAGGCGACGAUCUCUAGCUGGUUUGAGAGGAUGAUCAGCCACACUGGGACUGAGACACGGCCCAGACUCCUACGGGAGGCAGCAGUGGGGAAUAUUGCACAAUGGGCGAAAGCCUGAUGCAGCCAUGCCGCGUGUGUGAAGAAGGCCUUCGGGUUGUAAAGCACUUUCAGCGAGGAGGAAAGGUUAGUAGUUAAUAGCUGCUAGCUGUGACGUUACUCGCAGAAGAAGCACCGGCUAACUUCGUGCCAGCAGCCGCGGUAAUACGAGGGGUGCAAGCGUUAAUCGGAAUUACUGGGCGUAAAGCGUGCGUAGGUGGUUUGUUAAGCAAGAUGUGAAAGCCCCGGGCUCAACCUGGGAACUGCAUUUUGAACUGGCAAACUAGAGUUUUGUAGAGGGUAGUGGAAUUUCCAGUGUAGCGGUGAAAUGCGUAGAGAUUGGAGGGACAUC